UACGUAGGGCGCAAGCGUUGUCCGGAAUUAUUGGGCGUAAAGAGCUCGUAGGUGGUUUGUCGCGUCUGUCGUGAAAGCCCGGGGCUUAACUCCGGGUCUGCGGUGGAUACGGGCAGACUAGAGGCAGGUAGGGGAGAACGGAAUUCCCGGUGUAGCGGUGAAAUGCGCAGAUAUUAGGAGGAACACCGGUGGCGAAGGCGCCGCUCUGGGCCGAAACUGACGCUGAGGAGCGAAAGCAUGGGUAGCAAACAGG
Molecule: ribosomal RNA, 253 nt
Filed under: uncultured bacterium
Lineage: Bacteria
Description: partial 16S ribosomal RNA
Rfam family: Bacterial small subunit ribosomal RNA
Source: RNAcentral